RNAcentral lists this ribosomal RNA (256 nucleotides) under uncultured bacterium. Its description in RNAcentral is "partial 16S ribosomal RNA". It matches the Rfam family "Bacterial small subunit ribosomal RNA", at positions 524 to 776 of the family's 1533-position model. The record is from RNAcentral.
UACGUAGGAGGCAAGCGUUGUCCGGAAUUACUGGGCGUAAAGCGCGUGUAGGUGGUGGGACAAGUCUGCUGUGAAAGCGCCUGGCUUAACCGGGCGAGGUCGGCGGAAACUGUCGCACUCGAGGACGGUAGAGGGGGGGUGGAAUUCCCGGUGUAGUGGUGAAAUGCGUAGAGAUCGGGAGGAACACCUGUGGCGAAGGCGGCCCCCUGGGCCGGCCCUGACACUGAGACGCGGAAGGCGUGGGGGAGCGAACGGG